AGCGUUGUUCGGAAUUACUGGGCGUAAAGCGCGUGUAGGCGGUUGUCCCAGUCGGGUGUGAAAGCCUUGAGCUCAACUCAAGAAAUGCACUCGGUACUGGGCGACUAGAGGACCGGAGAGGAGAGUGGAAUUCCCAGUGUAGUGGUGAAAUACGUAGAGAUUGGGAAGAACACCAGUGGCGAAGGCGGCUAUCUGGACGGUUUCUGACGCUAAGACGCGAAAGCGUGGGGAGCAAACAGG
Molecule: ribosomal RNA, 240 nt
Filed under: uncultured bacterium
Lineage: Bacteria
Description: partial 16S ribosomal RNA
Rfam family: Bacterial small subunit ribosomal RNA
Source: RNAcentral